RNAcentral lists this ribosomal RNA (639 nucleotides) under Triticum aestivum (bread wheat). Its description in RNAcentral is "partial small subunit ribosomal RNA". Lineage: Eukaryota; Viridiplantae; Streptophyta; Magnoliopsida; Poales; Poaceae. The record is from RNAcentral.
AUGGUGAAGUCGAAGGGGGAAGACAAGGCCGAUGCGGUAGCGGUAGCAUCCCUCAAGCUGGACGUCGACCUGCUGGACGAGAAAGUGGAAGCCAUCCACUCGGAAGUGGAGGGGAUUCACACCAAGGUCACCGGGAUCAAGAAGCAGCUGACAAGACUUGAAGAACUGCUGCUCAAGCUUGAUACGAAAGGAAAAGAGAAGGAGAAGGAACCGGAGCACAGGGAGCCAGAGCGCCAACAACAACCACUCCCUCCCCAACCUCCACCCCCACCUCCACCUCAACAACCACAGCAACCCAACGCGCCCCCAAACAGAACAUCUCCCCUCCUGGACAGAGGAGUUCCGAUCUGGCGACACAUGGGGAACGAGUUCUCACGACCAACACCCCAGUACGCUGAACUAGACAGUCCAAAUAUGCAGUUCAGUCAGUGGCAAGAGAACUUCGAUGCUGCACCAAACCAAAACCCACUCCCAUACUAUGGCGAGCAACACCCCAUGUUUGCAUAUCAACCACCCCAGCCACCUCCACCUCCCCAUUAUUACCACCCACUAGAACAAGCCCAUGACCAACACCUACACCACCCACAAUACUUACCCCAGCAACGGUACCCUCCCCAAUUUCAGUACCCCAUCCCAUAA